RNAcentral lists this transfer RNA (116 nucleotides) under Hypoxylon sp. CO27-5. It matches the Rfam family "tRNA". From Rfam's summary of the family: Transfer RNA (tRNA) molecules are approximately 80 nucleotides in length. Lineage: Eukaryota; Fungi; Ascomycota; Sordariomycetes; Xylariales; Hypoxylaceae. The record is from Rfam by way of RNAcentral.
GGCACGAUGCCGGAGUGGUCUAACGGGUGAGACUUGAACUGGUCCAAGAGGCGCGAGUCUCCAGGUCACGUGAUCUCAUGUCUUAGGACGCGCAGGUUCGAAUCCUGCUCGUGUCG